RNAcentral lists this small RNA (1428 nucleotides) under Pongo abelii (Sumatran orangutan). RNAcentral's name for it is "retained intron". Lineage: Eukaryota; Metazoa; Chordata; Mammalia; Primates; Hominidae. The record is from RNAcentral.
CUCAGCAUGGGGGUCCCGCGGCCUCAACCCUGGGCGCUGGGGCUCCUGCUCUUUCUCCUGCCCGGGAGCCUGGGCGCAGAAAGCCACCUCUCCCUCCUGUACCACCUCACCGCGGUGUCCUCGCCUGCCCCGGGGACUCCUGCCUUCUGGGUGUCUGGCUGGCUGGGCCCGCAGCAGUACCUGAGCUACAAUAGCCUGCGGGGCGAGGCGGAGCCCUGUGGAGCUUGGGUCUGGGAAAACCAGGUGUCCUGGUAUUGGGAGAAAGAGACCACAGAUCUGAGGAUCAAGGAGAAGCUCUUUCUGGAAGCUUUCAAAGCUUUGGGGGGAAAAGGUGAGAUUCCGGUCUGGAGGGGCAAGGGGCCGGGUCCAUGCUCUUGGGCCCCGCUUACCUGUGUUUGGGCGCCCCAGGUCCCUACACUCUGCAGGGCCUGCUGGGCUGUGAACUGGGCCCUGACAACACCUCGGUGCCCACCGCCAAGUUCGCCCUCAACGGCGAGGAGUUCAUGAAUUUCGACCUCAAGCAGGGCACCUGGGGUGGGGACUGGCCCGAGGCCCUGGCUGUCAGUCAGCGGUGGCAGCAGCAGGACAAGGCGGCCAACAAGGAGCUCACCUUCCUGCUGUUCUCCUGCCCGCACCGCCUGCGGGAGCACCUGGAGAGGGGCCGCGGAAACCUGGAGUGGAAGGGCUGCUGGACAAAGAUAGAUACCAGCUGGGGACGGGCACAGAUAUUCAUUCCAAGUGCCACAAAGGAGAAGUUGAGACUCAACCAGAGCCCCCCUCCAUGCGCCUGAAGGCCCGACCCAGCAGCCCUGGCUUUUCCGUGCUUACCUGCAGCGCCUUCUCCUUCUACCCUCCGGAGCUGCAACUUCGGUUCCAGCGGAAUGGGCUGGCCGCUGGCACCGGCCAGGGCGACUUCGGCCCCAACAGUGACGGAUCCUUCCACGCCUCAUCGUCACUAAUAGUCAAAAGUGGCGAUGAGCACCACUACUGCUGCGUCGUGCAGCACGCGGGGCUGGCGCAGCCCCUCAGGGUGGAACUGGGUGAGGCCCCGCCCGGUGGUGAUGCUCCUGGUUUCCCGUUGCCUUGUCUCACUGCUGCGCCGUUCCUUCCUGAGUCUGACCUUCUUCCCCACUGCUGCCACCUCCUUGAAUCUGACUGCCUUGAACCUCGCGCCUGUCAGUGCCCCCAAAACCUGAUGGCUUGUCCUUCCCAAGGCCGACUGCCUUCCGUCUCCUGCUGCUUCUGGCCUCACUGAGUCUGAAGAGCUGUUAACUACCAUGGCCAGUCCUCCCUGAGUCUGACCAUCUUCCAUCCUGCUGCUGCUGCUGCUGCUGCUGCAGGUCUUCCUGGAAUCUGACCAUUCGUUGUCUGCUAUGCUCGUCCUCACCAAGACUGACCGCCUGCUGCUUUGCUACCGCCCGGGCCCAU